AGACCCGAAACCCGGUGAUCUAGCCAUGGGCAGGUUGAAGGUUGGGUAACACUAACUGGAGGACCGAACCGACUAAUGUUGAAAAAUUAGCGGAUGACCUGUGGCUGGGGGUGAAAGGCCAAUCAAACCGGGAGAUAGCUGGUUCUCCCCGAAAGCUAUUUAGGUAGCGCCUCGUGAAUUCAUCUCCGGGGGUAGAGCACUGUUUCGGCUAGGGGGCCAUCCCGGCUUACCAACCCGAUGCAAACUGCGAAUACCGGAGAAUGUUAUCACGGGAGACACACGGCGGGUGCUAACGUCCGUCGUGAAGAGGGAAACAACCCAGACCGCCAGCUAAGGUCCCAAAGUCAUGGUUAAGUGGGAAACGAUGUGGGAAGGCCCAGACAGCCAGGAUGUUGGCUUAGAAGCAGCCAUCAUUUAAAGAAAGCGUAAUAGCUCACUGGUCGAGUCGGCCUGCGCGGAAGAUGUAACGGGGCUAAACCAUGCACCGAAGCUGCGGCAGCGACACUCAGGUGUUGUUGGGUAGGGGAGCGUUCUGUAAGCCUGCGAAGGUGGCCUGUGAGGGUUGCUGGAGGUAUCAGAAGUGCGAAUGCUGACAUAAGUAACGAUAAAGCGGGUGAAAAGCCCGCUCGCCGGAAGACCAAGGGUUCCUGUCCAACGUUAAUCGGGGCAGGGUGAGUCGACCCCUAAGGCGAGGCCGAAAGGCGUAGUCGAUGGGAAACGGGUUAAUAUUCCCGUACUUGGUGUUACUGCGAAGGGGGGACGGAGAAGGCUAUGUUGGCCGGGCGACGGUUGUCCCGGUUUAAGCGUGUAGGUGUGUGUUCCAGGUAAAUCCGGUUCACUUUAACACUGAGGCGUGAUGACGAGGCACUACGGUGCUGAAGCAACAAAUGCCCUGCUUCCAGGAAAAGCCUCUAAGCAUCAGGUAACAUCAAAUCGUACCCCAAACCGACACAGGUGGUCAGGUAGAGAAUACCAAGGCGCUUGAGAGAACUCGGGUGAAGGAACUAGGCAAAAUGGUGCCGUAACUUCGGGAGAAGGCACGCUGACAUGUAGGUGAAGUGAUUUACUCAUGGAGCUGAAGUCAGUCGAAGAUACCAGCUGGCUGCAACUGUUUAUUAAAAACACAGCACUGUGCAAACACGAAAGUGGACGUAUACGGUGUGACGCCUGCCCGGUGCCGGAAGGUUAAUUGAUGGGGUCAGCGCAAGCGAAGCUCCUGAUCGAAGCCCCGGUAAACGGCGGCCGUAACUAUAACGGUCCUAAGGUAGCGAAAUUCCUUGUCGGGUAAGUUCCGACCUGCACGAAUGGCGUAAUGAUGGCCAGGCUGUCUCCACCCGAGACUCAGUGAAAUUGAACUCGCUGUGAAGAUGCAGUGUACCCGCGGCAAGACGGAAAGACCCCGUGAACCUUUACUAUAGCUUGACACUGAACAUUGAGCCUUGAUGUGUAGGAUAGGUGGGAGGCUUUGAAGCGUGGACGCCAGUCUGCGUGGAGCCGACCUUGAAAUACCACCCUUUAAUGUUUGAUGUUCUAACGUGGACCCGUAAUCCGGGUUGCGGACAGUGUCUGGUGGGUAGUUUGACUGGGGCGGUCUCCUCCUAAAGAGUAACGGAGGAGCACGAAGGUUGGCUAAUCCUGGUCGGACAUCAGGAGGUUAGUGCAAUGGCAUAAGCCAGCUUGACUGCGAGCGUGACGGCGCGAGCAGGUGCGAAAGCAGGUCAUAGUGAUCCGGUGGUUCUGAAUGGAAGGGCCAUCGCUCAACGGAUAAAAGGUACUCCGGGGAUAACAGGCUGAUACCGCCCAAGAGUUCAUAUCGACGGCGGUGUUUGGCACCUCGAUGUCGGCUCAUCACAUCCUGGGGCUGAAGUAGGUCCCAAGGGUAUGGCUGUUCGCCAUUUAAAGUGGUACGCGAGCUGGGUUUAGAACGUCGUGAGACAGUUCGGUCCCUAUCUGCCGUGGGCGCUGGAGAACUGAGGGGGGCUGCUCCUAGUACGAGAGGACCGGAGUGGACGCAUCACUGGUGUUCGGGUUGUCAUGCCAAUGGCACUGCCCGGUAGCUAAAUGCGGAAGAGAUAAGUGCUGAAAGCAUCUAAGCACGAAACUUGCCCCGA
Molecule: ribosomal RNA, 2111 nt
Filed under: Salmonella enterica subsp. enterica serovar Infantis
Lineage: Bacteria; Pseudomonadati; Pseudomonadota; Gammaproteobacteria; Enterobacterales; Enterobacteriaceae
Description: partial 23S ribosomal RNA
Rfam family: Bacterial large subunit ribosomal RNA
Source: RNAcentral